UAGAAAAGGCUACAAAGUUCAGUAUUUUAAAUAUUAGCAGUGAGCUCUUUUCCAGAAACCUAAUCUCAGUGGCUGUCAAUAAUUCACCAACAUAUAGAAAAAUAUUUGAUGAAUUUGAAGCUGAAUUAUCUUCUAUAACUGAUCUUUCACAAUUAAUCAAUCGUUAUGAGACAUUUUUGGGUUGUCUAUCAUGUGAUAGUGGACCAGCUAAAGGUGCAGUUGAUAGUUUAACUGCUGAUUGGAAUGAAUUUAAGAAGCAAUGUAAUGAAGAGAACACUUUUUCCUAUGAAGUUUCAUGUGAGGAAACAUUUUAUCAAGAGGAAAUUCCAUGGUUUGUUAUCGGGAAACUAAUCCAGCAUACUGGUGGAGAAAAGGCACCGAGGGAAUUACACAUAAAAAAACAAAAUUAUACUGAGCUACAACCCCAAGGUAAGUUACUAUAACAUGUUUAUUUAUAAAACCUUUUACUUGACAUUUUCAGGAUAAGUUUUUUAAUUUAUAAUUUUUGAGCCUGAAAUUACAGUAAAAAUUAAAAUACAAUUAGAAAAAUGGCAUAGUAAGAUGGUCAGCAAAAGUGUUGGUAAAUGAGGGUGGCUCUCAGAGUUGUGGCAGAAGAUCUUGCUUGUAGUCUCACCAUCCUGUGCUUAUUGCACAUAAAAUCUAAUUUUAAGACUGAG
Molecule: long non-coding RNA, 677 nt
Organism: Amphimedon queenslandica
Lineage: Eukaryota; Metazoa; Porifera; Demospongiae; Haplosclerida; Niphatidae
Exons: 3
Source: RefSeq, a predicted model, not a curated record